UAUUUCCUUCAUCACUAAUAUUUCCUUCAUCACUUUGAGGAAAUCCAAAACCUAAUAGUUCAUCUCCUGGUAAUUUGCUCUUGCUAUUGGUGAUUUACUCUUCCUCAAAAAUACUGGCUCAACCCUCUCACUCUCCUUCCUAGAAAAACCCUAGAAUCCAAAUUUCACAGUCAAAUUCAUACAAAUUCCAUAUUGAUUCUGAAAUUCCAUUUCAAUUAUAUAAAAAAUGGCAUCGGAUAUUGAGGAGGUGGAAUCAAUAAAUGUUGAAUCAUCAUUGUCUUCGACGACGGUUAACGGUGCGUCGAGGAGGAGAAUUUAAGGAACUAUGUGUAUACUGCAGUUGGAUGCCGUGUGCGAUUUUGAGUGCUUCUUUAGCUAUUUUCUCUUUGUUUUUUGGGCAGAUGAAUGCUUUACCUAUUUCUUCUGAUUUAGGGUAUUUAUUUUUGCAGCUUUCUUGGUUUCGUAGGUAUGUAUAUGAAUUCUUUCUUUCACUACAUAAGCAAGCAUUAAUGUUUUCUCUUCCAUUUAUUCUUCAAAUUCUGAGAUUACCUUCUGAAAAAACAAAAAAACAAAAAAUCUGAGAUUAUCCUUACUUAUGUGGUGACAAAUUCGAGAAUGACAAGUUUUUGCUAAAACAAUUUACCUUAUAUGGUUUGGGAAAGUUGAGAAUUUGUCGGGUCUAUUUUUUUUUUUUUUUUUUUUUUUUUUUUUUUUUUUUGGAAUGAGAUCUUGUUUAUACCCAUCAAUUGAUGAUACUAAUUGUGCAAUUUUGCUUAAAAAUCUUUUUUUUGCUGAACAUUGUUGGGUAUAAGAGAUUAUCUUUCGGAUUGUAGUCUAUUCAGGUGUUGGCUUAUAUACUUACAAAAUGUCUCGCAUAAGGUAUCCAUGUAGGUAGCAUCCACCUAUAUCAGUUGACUCAAGUCAAACUAGGGACUGAAAUAUUUUUCUGCAGUGGAUGGAUUAUAAAAAAAUGGCUAAAAUAAGAAUGCCACAUUUUCUUCCCAAAAAGUUAAUUAAACACUUUCAGAUGAACAUCUAAAUGAAAUAUAAAUUGCAAUAGUAUUUCAAUGAUGUUAGGAGUUUCUCAUGUGGUGUUUAACUUUCUAUAAGAUUGUCAGUGAAAAAAUAUUGGAGCUACACACAUAUUACCCUUGUGCUUUUGACUUCAUAAAUGUAAUGCCUUAUUUUUAAGCUCAUAUGUUAUCAAGAAUCAUGCCUCUUGCAUUAAGAAAUACCCAAUAAGUAGCUUUCUGAACAUUGAGACCUUUUAAUGUUUAUGUUGUUUUAUGUGUUAGAUAUAGUUUGCUGAACUUUUGACUGGUAUAUUAAAUAGCACAGAGCAUGUAACAAAAAAAUCACAAACAACCCAGUGCUUGUAAUGACAAGAUGAUAGGAUGAAAUUAAUGGCUUCAAUUCGUAAAAGGAUAUUAUAUCUGUGAUCAUCACCAUCGUUUCUUACUAUGGAUACAGUUAGAACAACUCACAUAUAUUUUCUUUGAGACAAAUUAAACAACAAUUAUAUAGGUUGCCUCUAUUUCAUGUAGCUACCACAAGAUUUAGUUGUAUACUUGUAUUACUCAAGCAUUUAUAGUUUAGAACAUUAUUUUCUUCCUAACUAUUGUAAAUUCUUAAUUCUUUGUUAUUAACUUUUCUGUAUAAAUCCGUUACUAUGAAGUCAUCAAUAAACAUUUUUCCUCUUAUUUCUUCCCAAUAAGAUGAAGUUAUCAUAUCCUUAUCAGGAGUAAGUGGAGCAGCUUAACUUUUUUAAAAUUUGCUAAGUCGAUGGAAAAGGUAAUUUCUCCCGUGUUUACUGCACAAAAUUGCAAUGUGAAAUACUUCGAAGUUCAAGAGUCAUUUUUUCUAGUUGUAACAUAGAUUUUGCCUAACAUUGUCCAAUUUGAUAGAUUUUCUAUUAUGAUCCUGAGAUGGAUAGUGAACCAAUGUACUUUCAUGACGCCUUUCUUUGUAGUCAAGCUUUGGAGGGCAUAUCGAUAUGUAUGGUAUGUAAAUACAUGUUAAUUGUAAUUCUCAGCUUUUAUUGGAUGCAAUUUUAAUGAAAUUUUACUUUACCUAAUCUAAAACAACAAUAAUGGCAAAGUGUUUUAACUCCUGCUUCGCAUUCUUUAUAUGCAUUAUGUAAUCCUUUGAGAUAAUGUCUUUGACAUUGUGUUAGAAUGACGAGUUGAUGAUUCAUAUUGCGGAAAAUGAUAUUGAAAAUUUGGCCGAUAGUUUUUUUUUCUUUUAUAAAAAAAAAAAACUCCGAAGCUCGUUUUAUUUUAGCAAAUUUGCUAUUUGAUUUAAGUGGUAGUUUCAUUAACUUUCUUUGGCUAUACUGACCAUUGUAUCUCUUCUCAGCAACUAUGAUAAAAAUUAUUAAAGAAAUGUUGCCCCCACACGUUCGUGUUGCCCGAGAUGCUCAGAAUCUUUUGAUUGAAUAUCGUGUAGGGUGUUUAUUUUCACAAAUUCUCUUGGUUUGCCAGGUGUGUAUAUGAAAUCUCUAUCGUCUGUGAUCCAGGUAAUUCACUUAUAUUGCUUUUUUUUGUAACUUCGUUGUUAAUUGGGUUACAACUAUAAGUGCUGCGAAAUGUUUAACAUUCGGAUUCCAUGACCUAUUAUGAGGUACUGUAACACUAAAAACCGAAAAAAUUAAUCUUUUUCAAGAAUUACUAAGUCCAUGAGUAAGGUAAUUUCACUUGUGUGUAUUGUAUAAAAUUGCAGUUUGAGAUACUUUGAGUUUGAGGUAGGAGUGGGCAUAAAAACUGAAAAAUCAAACUUUAAAAAUAACUAGUUUUCACUUUUCUAAACUGGAUCGAUGCAUAUUUUUUACUUCAAGAAACAACUUCAAAGGAUUAAUGUUGAAUCAAUGAUUAAUCAUUAAGUGGUAUCCUUAUUCGUCACAGGUAGUGCUAAAUACCUAUACAUAUCUCAGAAGUCAGAACCAUCGUCAAAGGAUUAAUCAUUAAGCGGUGUCCUUUUUCUUUUUCCGUUGAAGCUGGUUGUUCCCCAUUGAAGCUGGUGGUAUACUAUGUCCUUUCAUGGUGCUAAACUAUUAGUUUUCUUUUUAAUUUUUCCCUUAUGACAUGAAUUAAGAUAAACACAGGGUAAGUAGUCAUAUGCUUUCAUCUGAUAUUUCUUUUUAAGGUUUGAUGUUAGAUUUCUCCUUAAGCUAAUGUACGUACUAUUUGGCUUAUGUCAGCUAAAUGAAUUAUAUAAUACAUGAGCUUGAACACAUAAUAUUACAUUUAAAGCUUGAAGUUUGGUGCAGAAUUGAAAAUUAUUUAAAGUUGUUCAGAAUGUUCUUUUAAUGCCAACAAAAUUCUUCCAAUGCUGAAGAACAUUUUGUCUUGCUAAAGAAUUUUGUUUUAAGGUUAUUACUGGUGUCUAAAUGUAUGAGCUGGUUACAUUUGAAGGUAAUGAUUUAUUUUUUUGGUUCUAUUGUGGUCAUGAGAACAGAGGGAUUAUUUGUCUAAUGCUUGAGUUGGUUACAUUUGCAGGAGAACGACCAAUACAGUGAAGAACAUACCAAGGUAGUACCAAUGUGUUCAUAUUUUCGGUUUAGUUUCUCUAUUUGCCAUUUAUUUUUCUUGAAUGGGUGAAGUCCAUUUAACAUAUGAAUUCCAUUUAGCUCCUAUGUGAUAAGGUAGUUUGGCAAUAAUGGUUAAUUAUUUAAAACGAAAAAAAUCUGGUAGCUAUAGUUUUGUUAAAUAGUGCAUUUUCUCAUUUUGCUGUAAGGUGGGUUUGUCGGGUGAUGAAAUUACUAGAGCUGCAGCAUAACUCAUUGUAUGUCACAAAUUUUGUGGUGGAACUUGAAAAUUAGUGCCCCUAUGCCAAAGGAAACUUUGUCAUUGAAAGUCACCUGUGAACAGCAACUGAUAAUGAAAAUGCUUGUUCUUAUUGUACAAAAAUGGUUCCUUUGAUGCUUAUUCCUCUUUUGCUCCGUUUUUACUGAAUGGUGAUCAAAUUUAGUUAAUAAGUUUUGUCCUUCCGUGUUGCAGUUGGUUAUCUAACCAUCUUAUUUCUACCAUGAUGAAUGGUGACAUCAGUUAAGUGUUUUGUUGUUUGAAAAGUUGAGUUCUGUAUUUCUAUAUCAAAUUUGCUUGGCUUAAAAGGCUUCAGGGGUGGGGAUGUUCAAGUUGUUCAUUUGAGGUGAAUGUCCAAUGUUAUAGCUUGUUCCAAUAUUAGGAUAUAUGCAUAGAGUAUGGACUCAUGGGGUUGUGCACCAGAUGGGUGUUACUGUAGCUUCUAAAGUUCCUCAAUCCUAAGGCUAAUGUUAUCCUUUUUAAUGAUGAGGUAAACUGAGAUAAUUCUCGGUUACAGAAUUUUCCUCAAAGUGUUAUUUUUAUCACAUGCUUAUGCCUUAUGGUAUGUAGUUGAUCCCAGAAGACAUUUAUCAAACUGCACAUAAACUUCAUGUCCGAGCUCUCAGGUUAGACCUUAAAGUAUCUUUUGUAUUCACUGUUGGAUGACUGUAAAUGGAUAAGUAUGAAAAUGUCGUGCUUUUGUGAAUUUGUCAAUAUAGGUAAAUGAACGCAUUUGUGCAUCUGAAUUGAAAUGUGAAAGGGCCUUAUCUUGUUAUGUUGUUUGGUUUUUGAAUUAUAAUUACCCUGAAAAGCCGAGCAGUAUCAAACUGAGCAUACAUUCAUGAAAUAGAAGUGAUGACUUCGAUGGUUAAAUCAUGUUACCAUAUAUUUGUACAAUUUGAAAGGAUUAUUAUUUUACGGUUAAGCUUUUUGAAUCCGAGGGUCUAUUGGAAACAGCCUCUCUACCUCCAAAGGUAGGGGUAAGGUCCGCAUACACUCUAUUCUCCCCGGACUCCACUUGUGGGAUUACCUUGGGUAUGUUGUUGUUGGUUAAACUUCUUUGAGGUCAAGUUUAACAUAUCAGUGUGGUUUGUUGAAAAAAGUUAAAUCUGGUUUUCAAUUUAUUCUCUAUUUAGUUUGAUAAUUGAUAAAGACAAUUUUGUUUUGCCAGAAGAUAAAUUCAAGUCGUUUAUUUGACAUCUAACUUUUUGUUGUUUAUAUUCUUGCAGCUCCUUUUAUAUUGAUGUUUUGACUUUGAAGGGCAUUAGUUACACUCAAUAGAAUGUGUUAGGUAUUGAAGUGUUUGGUUAAUAAGUGAAGUUGCAGGAAAAUAAGACUUUGAUACAAGUUAACAAGAUUCUUGUCAUUUUCUUUUAGUGUUGUUAGGUGAAUAAUUAUAACUCUUUUGUAACAGAUGUUAGAUUUCUUGAAGGAUUGUGUGAACAGUACAAUGACUUAUAUUAUUGUUAUAUAAUUUUGCUAAUGGGGUUUAUUUCUAAACCUUGUUAUGUGAA
Lycium ferocissimum is the source of this 5314-nucleotide RNA transcript. RefSeq lists it as uncharacterized. The record is from RefSeq and is a predicted model, not a curated record. NCBI's taxonomy places the organism in Eukaryota, Viridiplantae, Streptophyta, Magnoliopsida, Solanales, Solanaceae. The transcript has 3 exons.